This 97-nucleotide small nucleolar RNA is filed under the name Ictidomys tridecemlineatus (thirteen-lined ground squirrel). Its description in RNAcentral is "Spermophilus tridecemlineatus (thirteen-lined ground squirrel) Small nucleolar RNA U13". It matches the Rfam family "Small nucleolar RNA U13". Lineage: Eukaryota; Metazoa; Chordata; Mammalia; Rodentia; Sciuridae. The record is from Rfam by way of RNAcentral.
AUCCUCGUGUUCAUAAACAUGAUGAUUGGUUUUUCAGGCUGUUGUGUGAGAUGUGACUACCUUGAAACUUAUUGCAAUGUUAGCACAUUACCUGAAU